UUGGUGGUUCAGUGGUAGAAUUCUCGC
This 27-nucleotide non-coding RNA is filed under the name Xenopus tropicalis (tropical clawed frog). Lineage: Eukaryota; Metazoa; Chordata; Amphibia; Anura; Pipidae. RNAcentral also lists the same sequence under 10 other names. The record is from RNAcentral.